GGGCUCACACAAGCGGUGGAGGAUGUGGCUUAAUUCGAGGCUACGCGAAGAACCUUAUCCUGGUCUUGACAUGUACGGAUGGCCCGCCUGAAAGGGAUGGGUCCUGCCUUCGGGUGAAACGUACACAGGUGCUGCAUGGCUGUCGUCAGCUCGUGUCGUGAGAUGUCGGGUUAAGUCCCUUAACGAGCGAAACCCUUAUCCCUAGUUGCCAGCGAGUCAUGUCGGGGACUCUAGGGAGACUGCCGGUGUUAAACCGGAGGAAGGUGGGGAUGACGUCAAGUCCUCAUGGCCUUUAUGGCCAGGGCUGCACACGUCCUACAAUGGCACGCACAAAGGGCAGCAAGUUCGCGAGGACAAGCAAA
This 362-nucleotide ribosomal RNA is filed under the name uncultured bacterium. RNAcentral describes it as "bacterial SSU rRNA". It matches the Rfam family "Bacterial small subunit ribosomal RNA", at positions 917 to 1271 of the family's 1533-position model. The record is from RNAcentral.